UACGAAGGGGGCUAGCGUUGUUCGGAAUCACUGGGCGUAAAGGGCGCGUAGGCGGCCGAUUAAGUCGGGGGUGAAAGCCUGUGGCUCAACCACAGAAUUGCCUUCGAUACUGAUUGGCUUGAGACCGGAAGAGGUAAGUGGAACUGCGAGUGUAGAGGUGAAAUUCGUAGAUAUUCGCAAGAACACCAGCGGCGAAGGCGGCUUACUGGUCCGGUUCUGACGCUGAGGCGCGAAAGCGUGGGGAGCAAACAGG
This 253-nucleotide ribosomal RNA is filed under the name uncultured bacterium. RNAcentral's name for it is "partial 16S ribosomal RNA". It matches the Rfam family "Bacterial small subunit ribosomal RNA", at positions 524 to 776 of the family's 1533-position model. The record is from RNAcentral.